RNAcentral lists this ribosomal RNA (547 nucleotides) under uncultured Glomeromycotina. RNAcentral's name for it is "SSU rRNA". It matches the Rfam family "Eukaryotic small subunit ribosomal RNA", at positions 548 to 1097 of the family's 1831-position model. The record is from RNAcentral. Lineage: Eukaryota; Fungi; Glomeromycota.
UUGGAGGGCAAGUCUGGUGCCAGCAGCCGCGGUAAUUCCAGCUCCAAUAGCGUAUAUUAAAGUUGUUGCAGUUAAAAAGCUCGUAGUUGAAUUUCGGGGUCAGUAGGCUGGUCGUGCCACAGGUAUGUACUGGUCUCACUGAUUCCUCCUUCCUGAUGAACCGUAAUGCCAUUAAUUUGGUGUUGCGGGGAAUCUGGACUGUUACUUUGAAAAAAUUAGAGUGUUUAAAGCAGGCUAACGCUUGAAUACAUUAGCAUGGAAUAAUGAAAUAGGACGAUCGAUCCUAUUUUGUUGGUUUCUAGGAUUGACGUAAUGAUUAAUAGGGAUAGUUGGGGGCAUUAGUAUUCAAUUGUCAGAGGUGAAAUUCUUGGAUUUAUUGAAGACUAACUACUGCGAAAGCAUUUGCCAAGGAUGUUUUCAUUAAUCAAGAACGAAAGUUAGGGGAUCGAAGACGAUCAGAUACCGUCGUAGUCUUAACCAUAAACUAUGCCGACUAGGGAUCGGACGAUGUUAACUUUUCUUGACUCGUUCGGCGCCUUACGGGAAA